Molecule: ribosomal RNA, 431 nt
Filed under: uncultured bacterium
Lineage: Bacteria
Description: partial 16S ribosomal RNA
Rfam family: Bacterial small subunit ribosomal RNA
Source: RNAcentral
AACGAACGCUGGCGGCAGGCUUAACACAUGCAAGUCGAGCGCCCCGCAAGGGGAGCGGCAGACGGGUGAGUACCGCGUGGGAACGUACCUUUUGGUUCGGAACAACUCCGGGAAACUGGAGCUAAUACCGGAUAAGCCCUAACGGGGAAAGAUUUAUCGCCGAAAGAUCGGCCCGCGUCUGAUUAGCUAGUUGGUGAGGUAACGGCUCACCAAGGCGACGAUCAGUAGCUGGUCUGAGAGGAUGAUCAGCCACACUGGGACUGAGACACGGCCCAGACUCCUACGGGAGGCAGCAGUGGGGAAUAGUGGACAAUGGGCGCAAGCCUGAUCCAGCCAUGCCGCGUGAGUGAUGAAGGCCUUAGGGUUGUAAAGCUCUUUUGUCCGGGAAGAUAAUGACGGUACCGGAAGAAUAAGCCCCGGCUAACUUCGUG